RNAcentral lists this ribosomal RNA (496 nucleotides) under uncultured bacterium. Its description in RNAcentral is "partial 16S ribosomal RNA". It matches the Rfam family "Bacterial small subunit ribosomal RNA", at positions 29 to 507 of the family's 1533-position model. The record is from RNAcentral.
AUGCACGCUGGCGGCGUGCCUAAUACAUGCAAGUCGCGCGAACAGACGAGGAGCUUGCUCCUCUGACGUUAGCGGCGGACGGGUGAGUAACACGUGGAUAACCUACCUAUAAGACUGGGAUAACUUCGGGAAACCGGAGCUAAUACCGGAUAAUAUAUUGAACCGCAUGGUUCAAUAGUGAAAGACGGUUUUGCUGUCACUUAUAGAUGGAUCCGCGCCGCAUUAGCUAGUUGGUAAGGUAACAGCUUACCAAGGCAACGAUGCGUAGCCGACCUGAGAGGGUGAUCGGCCACACUGGAACUGAGACACGGUCCAGACUCCUACGGGAGGCAGCAGUAGGGAAUCUUCCGCAAUGGGCGAAAGCCUGACGGAGCAACGCCGCGUGAGUGAUGAAGGUCUUCGGAUCGUAAAACUCUGUUAUUAGGGAAGAACAAAUGUGUAAGUAACUAUGCACGUCUUGACGGUACCUAAUCAGAAAGCCACGGCUAACUACGUG